Molecule: long non-coding RNA, 769 nt
Filed under: Mytilus galloprovincialis (Mediterranean mussel)
Lineage: Eukaryota; Metazoa; Mollusca; Bivalvia; Mytilida; Mytilidae
Source: RNAcentral
GUAUGUUCCAGACCGUAUGAGUAUUUGGACCGUACGCGUACGGUCUGGACCGUAUGCGUACUUUUUCAAUAUACGCAUACGGUCGGACCGUACGCGUACGGUCUGACUAAUAUUAAGAAUUUGGUCAAGUUUAUUAGAUACAAAUGUAUAUAACAGAUCAACAUAACUUAUAUCUCAAAUUAACAUGAAAAGUUGAAUAGUUAUUGAAAUAAAAACUUAAUAUUUUAACUAUUUGUAAAAAAUCAGGCUUAUUUAAUCUGUUAAUCUCCUGUACUUAGCAUGUCAGUAAUUCAUUAAUUACAGCCCAGUAUGCUCAUUGAAAUUGAAGUUAUCGGAAGUAAACAUAAUGUGGGAGGACAAUUGUUUUUAGAAUAUUUAGGAACUUUACAAAAAAUGCAUAUGCAAAAGAACAUGCAUAAACAAAACAUGUUAAUGUUAAAAAUAUAUGACGUUCCUUGUGGAAGCAAGUGUCAUCUUGGGCCAGAGUAACAAAAUAGGAUUCACGGAUAUAAAAUUAAACAAAAUUUAAUAUUUAAUUUUUAUUGUUCGCUUAUUCACUUUAUCCAUCUAAUUGUAAUAAUAACAAUUUGUAUAACUAAAAGUAAAGAUUUUGAUAAAUGUUUCUUAACAUUUAACCCAUAUGAUCCCAAAACAUGUAUGGUCAGCUGGACCGUACGCGUAUACUCAUACGGUCCGACCGUACGCGUAUGGUCGGACCGUACGAGUAUACGUAUACGGUCCGGACCGUACGCGUACGGUCCAAAUACUC